Molecule: RNA transcript, 3376 nt
Organism: Setaria italica (foxtail millet)
Lineage: Eukaryota; Viridiplantae; Streptophyta; Magnoliopsida; Poales; Poaceae
Gene name: probable BOI-related E3 ubiquitin-protein ligase 3
Exons: 5
Source: RefSeq, a predicted model, not a curated record
AAAAUCUAGCCCAUCCCACUCUCGCACUCCUCACACACACACACACCUCAGAGCGGCGGCGCAUGCUGCUCCGAAGCCGCCGUCAGCCGGCGACGGAAUGGAGGCGACUGGAUCCAGUGCUAAGAAGAAGAGAUCGGAUUAGCUCGAGGCCGACGAGUCCCCGCCGCCGGCAAUGACGGCCAUGGAGGCAUCCAAUCCCGAACUUGCAGCAAAGAAAAAGAGGACCAGCCAUAGCCAAGAACCAGCGCCGCCACCCGGUGCUGGAGGGGAACGAGGAGCCGGUGAUGUCGACCGCAUUAGCGGCCUCCCCGACGCCAUCAUCGGCGGCAUCAUCUCGCUCCUCCCCUCCACGGACAGGGCCCGCACCUCGCCUCGCGGUGGCGGCUCCUCUCGUGCUUCGCGCCACUCAACCUCGACCAGAGCGACCUCCCCUCCAAUAGGGAGGCCUUCGCCGGCGUCGUCUCCCGCAUCCUCUCCGUCCACUGGGGCCCGUGCCGCCGCUUCUGCGUUCCUGCGGGCUACCUCGAGGACCGCCCCGCCGCUAUGGACGCCUGGCUCUGGUCACCCGCCCUCGACAAUCUUGAGGAGAUUGAUUUCAUCCUGCCUCCGGCGUCUACGCUCCGCUUCUUGGCCACCCUCCGCGUCGCAGCCUUGAGAAAAUGCCACAUCCCCGACGGUCUCGCCCAAUCGCUCCAGCUUCCCCAGCUCAAGGAGCUCGCACUUGAAGAGGUAACCAUUUCAGAGGGGCUCACUGCACGGCUUGAUCUCCAGCUGCCCCGUCUCGCCCAAUCUUGAGGAGUGCUUGCUGCUUAGCAAUUGCACUGGCUUUGGUUGUGCUCGGAUCACCUCCAGCAGCCUAAGGGGCAUCGGAGUGCGAGCUGAAUGCUAUCAAGAGUCUGAGCUUCGGUUUCGCCUUUUCGGAACUUAUCAUCGACGAUGCCCCUUGUCUUGAAAGGUUGCUCUACGCUGAAUAUUUUGGCCUCAAUGUGUCUGCAGUCACUGCACCUAAACUGCUAACUGGAGAUAUUAUGCUUUUCUGUUGGUCAGUCCAAUUUCUCCAGACUUGUGUUUGGCAGCACAGAGUUUCAGGGAUUGAAUGCUGUUAGCUUGAUGACUGUACUGCACAGUGUCAAGAUUUUGGCUGUCAAUUCGUGGGUUACUGAGCUGGAUUUGGCUAUUGGCUUGAUGAAAUGCUUUCCGUGUUUGGAGAAGUUGUACAUACAGUCAUGUGGAUCAGUCGGGCAGAAUUUGUGGCAUAGUUAAAACAAGAAUUUUAUCCAAAACUAUGACAUCCAUAUCAAGACUGUAGUGUUGGGAAUGUGGGAAUGUAUCUGGGCAUCAGAGCGCAAGUCAACUUUGCUUCGUACACAGAAUGCAACAGAGUUGGAGGUAAUGAGAAUUGAGACAAUUUUACUUUGUCCAUACAAUUAAUUCUCAAAUUUGUAGUGUUCGGAUUAUUUAUUACCCCAGAACCAUGGGUUGUUUAAUCAAAUAAUGCUAUUAUUAGUGUUAUGAUUUAUGUGAUAGUGCUAGAACCAAUGAAGUGCAGAGCGCCAUGCUGAAAAGGUCUCUUCACAAGGUGCUUAUGUGAUUUUCCAUAGGAACUUAACUUGAACUAUAUCAUGCACAUGCCCUUUGUGCACCCCUAUGAUCUGUUAACUCUGUAUAUGGUGAAUUUAUGCCCAAAAAAAAUUUAGCUACAGUAAACAUUUUUGUAAGGCAGCAUCCUGGAUUUUUUAUUGUGAAUAAUUUUGCUCAUUCAUCCCCUCCUGUAGACCUAUUUAAAUUUCUCUAAGUUUCAGCUCAUACGAAUCCCUCACAACUUUGAGAAAUUGUCUUUCACAAGUGCUUAGUAUUCUUUUCAUUGUGUAUAAACAUAACAAUAUCUUGUUCCUACAGUUCUUUACUUUACCUGGUGACUUAAGAUAAAAUUGAGGCAUUUCUCUGGCUUUGUUGAUAUAUAUUUCGCUGCAUGUACUUCCAGAUAAUGUGUUGAAAGAGCUAUGUUUCUCCAUUUGCCAAGACCUAGGUUCCAUCUUCGGUUACUUAUAGAAAGUUUUUGCCCUUUUUUUUGGCUUCAAUUGCUGGAUAUAGCUUGCACUUUGGUAAGCAUGAGGGUGGCUCGGAAAAGAUUCCUUCACUAGAUGCUUGCCAAUGAAUGCUAACAAUCUCAACCAUUUUCAAACUUCAGUCUUUAGUUAAGUUUAAUAGACACCAAACAAAGCAUAUAUCCUAUGUUUAUUUAUAUAAACAAUGAACAAACAUGCAUGCGCCGUGGCUUAAGCAAGUGCCAGCCUUUGGGCUACAAAUCCUCUACCAAAUAAGUAGCAAAUUUAUUAGAUUAAAGCCAUGCAUAUAUUACUAAAUACAAUGCGACAAGAUUUAUGGAGCAUACGUCAUUAAAUUAUCAACGGUAAGUUUGACCAACUUUGUGUUGAACAAAACUCCAGUGGAGAUGUAUAUUAGACAGGUAAGAGUCAAGAGUACCCGGACAGAUGACGUUCUGAAACGCUUCUGCGAAUUAAAUAAGUAUAUUUGAGAUACAUCUUUCUGGAUUCACUGGCAUUAAUUGUGCACCUCGACUCCGCUCCUAUAUAAGGGGCAACAAGCAAAUGGCCUUCCUUUGGAUGGCAUAAAUCCGGUGCCGUUUGGCUUCUCCCUUGAGCAGCACAGGCUGCAGUUGGAUCAGGUCCUCCAACUCUACAACGAGCAGGUUCGGGUGUCUCUGCAGCAGGAAAUGUCUAUACAGAACUUAACUCUACUGAACCUUCGGACAACUGAUGCGCUGAUUCAGAAGGUUGAAGAGGUAGCCAGCUUGAAAGAAGAGGUAGCCAGCUUGCAUGUAGAGUUGCAGAGGAAGCAAGGAGAUAUAGAAGCUGCACAGCAGUUUGCUGUGAUGGUUCUUGAAACGAAUGAGUCACUUAUCCACAGGCCUCCCCCGAUGCAGCAGGAAAUGAACUUACAUAUCUCAUCUAACCAGUCAGAUGCUCCAGGCUCUGGAAAUGAAGCAUCGAGCGUGGUGAGAACCGCAGCAGAGACAACCAAGAUCGAUCUCAUCUGCAAGGUUUGCAACUUUGGUCUUGCUUGUAUGCUGUUACUGCCGUGCCAGCACCUCUGCGCAUGCAAUCCAUGCGGAGUCCGUCUCGCGGCAUGCCCUAUCUGCGGUGCUGUGAAGGGUGGUGCGGUCGAGGCCCGAUUUGUCUAGAAGUAAAGAAGCGAAAGCAGCGAUCGGAACCUGUUGUUUCUGAUGCGCCUAAUAAGAGCAUGUGUGUUUUCUUUCUCCGUGUAAGGUGUUGUAGCCUUGUUCUGUAAUCCUUUCUUGUAAUCCGUUCUGUUGUUGUCGUCGUAUUAAUGUCAUGUUUCUGUGUUCCCAAUA